UGCAGUCGAACGUGAAGCACUUCGGUGUGAGUAGAGUGGCGGACGGGUGAGUAACGCGUGGGAAUCUACCCAGUAGUGGGGGACAACUACCGGAAACGGUAGCUAAUACCGCAUACGCCCUAUGGGGGAAAGGCUUCGGCCGCUAUUGGAUGAGCCCGCGUCAGAUUAGCUAGUUGGUAGGGUAAAGGCCUACCAAGGCAACGAUCUGUAGCUGGUCUGAGAGGACGAACAGCCACACUGGGACUGAGACACGGCCCAGACUCCUACGGGAGGCAGCAGUGGGGAAUAUUGGACAAUGGGCGAAAGCCUGAUCCAGCAAUGCCGCGUGUGUGAAGAAGGCCUGCGGGUUGUAAAGCACUUUCAGUUGGGAAGAUGAUGACGUUACCAACAGAAGAAGCACCGGCUAAAUCCGUGCCAGCAGCCGCGGUAAUACGGAUGG
This 439-nucleotide ribosomal RNA is filed under the name uncultured Gammaproteobacteria bacterium. RNAcentral's name for it is "bacterial SSU rRNA". It matches the Rfam family "Bacterial small subunit ribosomal RNA", at positions 56 to 532 of the family's 1533-position model. Lineage: Bacteria; Pseudomonadati; Pseudomonadota; Gammaproteobacteria. The record is from RNAcentral.